RNAcentral lists this ribosomal RNA (2903 nucleotides) under Escherichia coli. RNAcentral describes it as "23S ribosomal RNA". It matches the Rfam family "Bacterial large subunit ribosomal RNA". Lineage: Bacteria; Pseudomonadati; Pseudomonadota; Gammaproteobacteria; Enterobacterales; Enterobacteriaceae. The record is from RNAcentral.
GGUUAAGCGACUAAGCGUACACGGUGGAUGCCCUGGCAGUCAGAGGCGAUGAAGGACGUGCUAAUCUGCGAUAAGCGUCGGUAAGGUGAUAUGAACCGUUAUAACCGGCGAUUUCCGAAUGGGGAAACCCAGUGUGAUUCGUCACACUAUCAUUAACUGAAUCCAUAGGUUAAUGAGGCGAACCGGGGGAACUGAAACAUCUAAGUACCCCGAGGAAAAGAAAUCAACCGAGAUUCCCCCAGUAGCGGCGAGCGAACGGGGAGGAGCCCAGAGCCUGAAUCAGUGUGUGUGUUAGUGGAAGCGUCUGGAAAGGCGCGCGAUACAGGGUGACAGCCCCGUACACAAAAAUGCACAUACUGUGAGCUCGAUGAGUAGGGCGGGACACGUGGUAUCCUGUCUGAAUAUGGGGGGACCAUCCUCCAAGGCUAAAUACUCCUGACUGACCGAUAGUGAACCAGUACCGUGAGGGAAAGGCGAAAAGAACCCCGGCGAGGGGAGUGAAAAAGAACCUGAAACCGUGUACGUACAAGCAGUGGGAGCCUCUUUAUGGGGUGACUGCGUACCUUUUGUAUAAUGGGUCAGCGACUUAUAUUCUGUAGCAAGGUUAACCGAAUAGGGGAGCCGAAGGGAAACCGAGUCUUAACUGGGCGUUAAGUUGCAGGGUAUAGACCCGAAACCCGGUGAUCUAGCCAUGGGCAGGUUGAAGGUUGGGUAACACUAACUGGAGGACCGAACCGACUAAUGUUGAAAAAUUAGCGGAUGACUUGUGGCUGGGGGUGAAAGGCCAAUCAAACCGGGAGAUAGCUGGUUCUCCCCGAAAGCUAUUUAGGUAGCGCCUCGUGAAUUCAUCUCCGGGGGUAGAGCACUGUUUCGGCAAGGGGGUCAUCCCGACUUACCAACCCGAUGCAAACUGCGAAUACCGGAGAAUGUUAUCACGGGAGACACACGGCGGGUGCUAACGUCCGUCGUGAAGAGGGAAACAACCCAGACCGCCAGCUAAGGUCCCAAAGUCAUGGUUAAGUGGGAAACGAUGUGGGAAGGCCCAGACAGCCAGGAUGUUGGCUUAGAAGCAGCCAUCAUUUAAAGAAAGCGUAAUAGCUCACUGGUCGAGUCGGCCUGCGCGGAAGAUGUAACGGGGCUAAACCAUGCACCGAAGCUGCGGCAGCGACGCUUAUGCGUUGUUGGGUAGGGGAGCGUUCUGUAAGCCUGCGAAGGUGUACUGUGAGGUAUGCUGGAGGUAUCAGAAGUGCGAAUGCUGACAUAAGUAACGAUAAAGCGGGUGAAAAGCCCGCUCGCCGGAAGACCAAGGGUUCCUGUCCAACGUUAAUCGGGGCAGGGUGAGUCGACCCCUAAGGCGAGGCCGAAAGGCGUAGUCGAUGGGAAACAGGUUAAUAUUCCUGUACUUGGUGUUACUGCGAAGGGGGGACGGAGAAGGCUAUGUUGGCCGGGCGACGGUUGUCCCGGUUUAAGCGUGUAGGCUGGUUUUCCAGGCAAAUCCGGAAAAUCAAGGCUGAGGCGUGAUGACGAGGCACUACGGUGCUGAAGCAACAAAUGCCCUGCUUCCAGGAAAAGCCUCUAAGCAUCAGGUAACAUCAAAUCGUACCCCAAACCGACACAGGUGGUCAGGUAGAGAAUACCAAGGCGCUUGAGAGAACUCGGGUGAAGGAACUAGGCAAAAUGGUGCCGUAACUUCGGGAGAAGGCACGCUGAUACGUAGGUGAAGUCCCUCGCGGAUGGAGCUGAAAUCAGUCGAAGAUACCAGCUGGCUGCAACUGUUUAUUAAAAACACAGCACUGUGCAAACACGAAAGUGGACGUAUACGGUGUGACGCCUGCCCGGUGCCGGAAGGUUAAUUGAUGGGGUCAGCGCAAGCGAAGCUCUUGAUCGAAGCCCCGGUAAACGGCGGCCGUAACUAUAACGGUCCUAAGGUAGCGAAAUUCCUUGUCGGGUAAGUUCCGACCUGCACGAAUGGCGUAAUGAUGGCCAGGCUGUCUCCACCCGAGACUCAGUGAAAUUGAACUCGCUGUGAAGAUGCAGUGUACCCGCGGCAAGACGGAAAGACCCCGUGAACCUUUACUAUAGCUUGACACUGAACAUUGAGCCUUGAUGUGUAGGAUAGGUGGGAGGCUUUGAAGUGUGGACGCCAGUCUGCAUGGAGCCGACCUUGAAAUACCACCCUUUAAUGUUUGAUGUUCUAACGUUGGCCCCUAAUCGGGGUUGCGGACAGUGUCUGGUGGGUAGUUUGACUGGGGCGGUCUCCUCCUAAAGAGUAACGGAGGAGCACGAAGGUUGGCUAAUCCUGGUCGGACAUCAGGAGGUUAGUGCAAUGGCAUAAGCCAGCUUGACUGCGAGCGUGACGGCGCGAGCAGGUGCGAAAGCAGGUCAUAGUGAUCCGGUGGUUCUGAAUGGAAGGGCCAUCGCUCAACGGAUAAAAGGUACUCCGGGGAUAACAGGCUGAUACCGCCCAAGAGUUCAUAUCGACGGCGGUGUUUGGCACCUCGAUGUCGGCUCAUCACAUCCUGGGGCUGAAGUAGGUCCCAAGGGUAUGGCUGUUCGCCAUUUAAAGUGGUACGCGAGCUGGGUUUAGAACGUCGUGAGACAGUUCGGUCCCUAUCUGCCGUGGGCGCUGGAGAACUGAGGGGGGCUGCUCCUAGUACGAGAGGACCGGAGUGGACGCAUCACUGGUGUUCGGGUUGUCAUGCCAAUGGCACUGCCCGGUAGCUAAAUGCGGAAGAGAUAAGUGCUGAAAGCAUCUAAGCACGAAACUUGCCCCGAGAUGAGUUCUCCCUGAGACUUUAAGUCUCCUGAAGGAACGUUGAAGACGACGACGUUGAUAGGCCGGGUGUGUAAGCGCAGCGAUGCGUUGAGCUAACCGGUACUAAUGAACCGUGAGGCUUAACCUU